CUUCAUAAAUGUUAACAGAGGAAGAAAAAAAAAAAGGAGGAAGGGAUAUCUGAAGAUUUUUAUCUUGUGCCCUCAGGGAUUGGGAGGAGAGGAAUGGGGGAAAUUGAGUCACCAUCUGUGGAGGCAGAAACUUCCAGAAGAACCAAAAGCUUAGGGAAGGAUCCACAGACCCCCCCUCCGAGAUAAAGAGGGCUGUGGAGGAUGCCUCCACCUUUCCCAGGCAUCUGUAAAUUCCUGGGAUGUGUCAGCAGCGGGCAAGUGGGCUGGAGGCACAUCAGACAAGAGGUUUCAAUUUCUAGGCCAUCAGGAUGGCAUCAAAGGAAUGUCAGCCUAGACCAGGUCAUCCUGGGAGAUUCCCCAGCCAAGGUCUUCAGCCCGGACGGCUCCAUCUCACCUGAGAGGGGCUGUCAGUGUGCUCCUCCCGAGGAGUGGAGAAGACAGAGUCCCUGACGAGAGGACCCCUACCACACCAGGGAAGGGAACAGAGACUGGGAAGGGCUCUGAGCCAAAUCCUGUCUUUGCAAAUAGGGGCAAUCUCCGUAGCAGCAACAUGCUUGCCACAGGCAUGGAAUCAUUUCAGGCCAGCAGCCACAGUCCUCGGUAUACCUUUGGGUGGCCACAAAGAGCACAUGGAGAGUAAAAUUAAGGUCCAGUUCUUCCAGAGCAGAAGCUGGAUCUGCCUCGCGAAGCCCAUGCUGGUGACCACGGGAGACCCGAUGACGCGGAGCGGCCGAGGCUCUGGGGAGCAGUGGGCGUGAAUGCCGCCAGAGCACCUCCGGCCCAGGCUGUGUCCUUCUCUGGGUGAUUAAAGGCUCCUUUCCCCUAGCAAA
Eptesicus fuscus (big brown bat) is the source of this 830-nucleotide long non-coding RNA. RefSeq lists it as uncharacterized. The transcript has 3 exons. NCBI's taxonomy places the organism in Eukaryota, Metazoa, Chordata, Mammalia, Chiroptera, Vespertilionidae. The record is from RefSeq and is a predicted model, not a curated record.